RNAcentral lists this ribosomal RNA (439 nucleotides) under uncultured bacterium. Its description in RNAcentral is "partial 16S ribosomal RNA". It matches the Rfam family "Bacterial small subunit ribosomal RNA", at positions 338 to 795 of the family's 1533-position model. The record is from RNAcentral.
CCUACGGGUGGCAGCAGUGGGGAAUAUUGCACAAUGGGGGAAACCCUGAUGCAGCGACGCCGCGUGAGUGAAGAAGUAUUUCGGUAUGUAAAGCUCUAUCAGCAGGGAAGAAAAUGCCGGUACCUGAUUAAGACGCCCCGGCUAACUACGUGCCAGCAGCCGCGGUAAUACGUAGGGGGCAAGCGUUAUCCGGAUUUCGUGGGUUUAAAGGGUGCGCAGGCGGAGGUGCAAGUCAGCGGUCAAAUUGCGGGGCUCAACCCCGUACAGCCGUUGAAACUGCAUCCCUUGAGUGAGCGAGAAGGAUGCGGAAUGCGUGGUGUAGCGGUGAAAUGCAGAGAUAUCACGCAGAACUCCGAUUGCGAAGGCAGCAUGCCGGCGCGCAACUGACGCUCAUGCACGAAAGCGUGUGUAUCGAACAGGAUUAGAUACCCUGGUAGUC